RNAcentral lists this unclassified non-coding RNA (159 nucleotides) under uncultured Ascomycota. Its description in RNAcentral is "sequence contains ITS2". Lineage: Eukaryota; Fungi; Ascomycota. The record is from RNAcentral.
CGACCAUUAAGCCCUGUUGCUUAGCGUUGGGAGCCUGCUGGCCAUGCCCGCAGCUCCUCAAAGUUAGUGGCGGAGUUGGUGCAUACUCUAGGCGUAGUAAUUUUAAUCUCGCUUUUGUAGUUGUGCCGGCGCCUGCCGUAAAACACCCAAAAUUUAACU